GACGAACGCUGGCGGCGUGCCUAAUACAUGCCAGUAGAACGCUGAAGCGAGGAGCUUGCUCUUCUUGGGUGAGUCGCGCACGGGUGAGUAACGCGUAGGUAACCUGCCUUGUAGCGGGGGAUAACUAUUGGAAACGAUAGCUAAUACCGCAUAACAAUGGAUUACCCAUGUCAUUUAUUUGAAAGGGGCAAAUGCUCCACUACAAGAUGGACCUGCGUUGUAUUAGCUAGUAGGUGAGGUAACGGCUCACCUAGGCGACGAUACAGAGCCGACAUGAGAGGAUGAGCGGCCACACUGAGACUGAGACACGGCACAGACGGCCACGGGAGGCAGCAGUAGGGAAUCGGCGGCAAGCAGUGCAAACCUGACCGCGCAGCGCCGCGUGAGUGAAGAAGGUUGUCGGGUCGUAGAGCUCGGUUGUAAGUUAAGAACGAGUGUGAGAGUGGAAAGUACACACUGUGACGGUAGCUGACAAGGAAGGAACGGCUAACUACGUG
RNAcentral lists this ribosomal RNA (497 nucleotides) under uncultured bacterium. Its description in RNAcentral is "partial 16S ribosomal RNA". It matches the Rfam family "Bacterial small subunit ribosomal RNA", at positions 28 to 507 of the family's 1533-position model. The record is from RNAcentral.